This 103-nucleotide small nucleolar RNA is filed under the name Catagonus wagneri (Chacoan peccary). Its description in RNAcentral is "Small nucleolar RNA U13 (ENSCWAG00000006834.1)". It matches the Rfam family "Small nucleolar RNA U13". The record is from Rfam by way of RNAcentral. Lineage: Eukaryota; Metazoa; Chordata; Mammalia; Artiodactyla; Tayassuidae.
AUCCUUUUGUAGUUCAUGAGCAUGAUGAUGUGUGUUCACAGGCAUGCGUGACAUGUGCCUCCCUCAAACCUUGUUAUGACAUCGGCACAUUACCAGUCUGACG